GUGCUCGCUUUGGCGCACGUAUACUAAAAUUGGAACGACAGAGAGAAGAUUAGCAUGGCCCCUGUACAAGGAUGACACGCAAAUUUGUGAAGUGUUCCAUAUUUUU
Small nuclear RNA from Pongo abelii (Sumatran orangutan), 106 nucleotides. The record is from Ensembl. NCBI's taxonomy places the organism in Eukaryota, Metazoa, Chordata, Mammalia, Primates, Hominidae.